Molecule: ribosomal RNA, 464 nt
Filed under: Vreelandella stevensii
Lineage: Bacteria; Pseudomonadati; Pseudomonadota; Gammaproteobacteria; Oceanospirillales; Halomonadaceae
Description: partial 16S ribosomal RNA
Rfam family: Bacterial small subunit ribosomal RNA
Source: RNAcentral
CCUACGGGGGGCUGCAGUGGGGAAUAUUGGACAAUGGGCGAAAGCCUGAUCCAGCCAUGCCGCGUGUGUGAAGAAGGCCUUCGGGUUGUAAAGCACUUUCAGUGGGGAAGAAAGCCUUGGGGCUAAUACCCUCGAGGAAGGACAUCACCCACAGAAGAAGCACCGGCUAACUCCGUGCCAGCAGCCGCGGUAAUACGGGGGUGCGAGCGUUAAUCGGAAUUACUGGGCGUAAAGCGCGCGUAGGCGGUCUGAUAAGCCGGUUGUGAAAGCCCCGGGCUCAACCUGGGAACGGCAUCCGGAACUGUCAGGCUAGAGUGCAGGAGAGGAAGGUAGAAUUCCCGGUGUAGCGGUGAAAUGCGUAGAGAUCGGGAGGAAUACCAGUGGCGAAGGCGGCCUUCUGGACAGACACUGACGCUGAGGUGCGAAAGCGUGGGUAGCAAACAGGAUUAGAUACCCCUGUAGUC